GCUGAAGUGGCAGAGUAUGGCAAUUGCAUAAAACUUAAACUUUUA
Molecule: transfer RNA, 45 nt
Filed under: Orcinus orca (killer whale)
Lineage: Eukaryota; Metazoa; Chordata; Mammalia; Artiodactyla; Delphinidae
Description: partial tRNA-Leu
Source: RNAcentral